This 441-nucleotide ribosomal RNA is filed under the name uncultured bacterium. RNAcentral's name for it is "partial 16S ribosomal RNA". It matches the Rfam family "Bacterial small subunit ribosomal RNA", at positions 338 to 795 of the family's 1533-position model. The record is from RNAcentral.
CCUACGGGAGGCAGCAGUGGGGAAUAUUGGGCAAUGGGCGCAAGCCUGACCCAGCAACGCCGCGUGAAGGAAGAAGGCUUUCGGGUUGUAAACUUCUUUUAAGGGGGAAGAGCAGAAGACGGUACCCCUUGAAUAAGCCACGGCUAACUACGUGCCAGCAGCCGCGGUAAUACGUAGGUGGCAAGCGUUGUACGUAUUUACUGGGUGUAAAGGGCGUGCAGCCGGAGAGACAAGUCAGAUGUGAAAUCCACGGGCUCAUACCGUGAACUGCAUUUGAAACUGUUUCCCUUGAGUGUCGGAGAGGUAAUCGGAAUUCCUUGUGUAGCGGUGAAAUGCGUAGAUAUAAGGAAGAACACCAGUGGCGAGGGCGGAUUACUGGACGAUAACUGACGGUGAGGCGCGAAAGCGUGGGAGCAAACAGGAUUAGAUACCCCAGUAGUC